RNAcentral lists this ribosomal RNA (373 nucleotides) under uncultured bacterium. Its description in RNAcentral is "bacterial SSU rRNA". It matches the Rfam family "Bacterial small subunit ribosomal RNA", at positions 917 to 1291 of the family's 1533-position model. The record is from RNAcentral.
GGGCCCGCACAAGCGGUGGAGUAUGUGGUUUAAUUCGAUGCAACGCGAAGAACCUUACCAGGGUUUGACAUCCUGCGAAUCUCUUGGAAACAGGAGAGUGCCUUCGGGAACGCAGUGACAGGUGGUGCAUGGCUGUCGUCAGCUCGUGUCGUGAGAUGUUGGGUUAAGUCCCGCAACGAGCGCAACCCACGUCUUUAGUUGCCAGCAUUUAGUUGGGCACUCUAGAGAGACUGCCGGUGAUAAACCGGAGAAGGUGUGGAUGACGUCAAGUCAUCAUGCCCCUUACAUCUGGGCUACACACGUACUACAAUGCUACGGACAAAGGGCAGCAAGUUCGCGAGGACAGCAAGUCCAAUCCAAUAACGUGGCUCAG